Molecule: ribosomal RNA, 288 nt
Filed under: Aegla camargoi
Lineage: Eukaryota; Metazoa; Arthropoda; Malacostraca; Decapoda; Aeglidae
Description: partial 12S small subunit ribosomal RNA
Source: RNAcentral
UAUUUUAGUCUUGUUAGAGGAACCUGUUUUAUAAUCGAUAAACCACGUAAAUCUUACUUAUUUUAAAUAAUUUGUAUACCGUCAUUAUUAGAUAACUUUUUAAAAAAUAGUUAUUAAAAUUAAAUAAAGUUAAAUAUAUUAGAUCAAGGUGCAGUUAAUAAAUAAGAAAAAAUGGGUUACAAUAAAAUUUAUUUAAAACGAAUUAUAUAAAUGUAAAAAUAUAUGAAGGAGGAUUUAAUUGUAAUUUUUUUUUUAUAAAUAAAUAAUAUGAUAAUAGCUCUAAAAUAU